Molecule: ribosomal RNA, 253 nt
Filed under: uncultured bacterium
Lineage: Bacteria
Description: partial 16S ribosomal RNA
Rfam family: Bacterial small subunit ribosomal RNA
Source: RNAcentral
UACAGAGGGUGCAAGCGUUGUUCGGAAUUAUUGGGCGUAAAGCGCGUGUAGGCGGCUUUGCAAGUCGGGUGUGAAAGCCCUCAGCUCAACUGAGGAAGUGCGCCCGAAACUGCGGAGCUUGAGUACCGGAGAGGAUGGCGGAAGUCCCCAAGUAGAGGUGAAAUUCGUAGAUAUGGGGAGGAACACCGGUGGCGAAGGCGGCCAUCUGGACGGAUACUGACGCUGAGACGCGAAAGCCAGGGGAGCAAACGGG